AACGAACGCUGGCGGCAUGCCUAACACAUGCGAGUCGAACGAGACCUUCGGGUCUAGUGGCGCACGGGUGCGUAACGCGUGGGAACCUGCCCUUAGGUUCGGAAUAACUCCCCGAAAGGGGUGCUAAUACCGGAUAAUGUCUUCGGACCAAAGAUUUAUCGCCUUUGGAUGGGCCCGCGUUGGAUUAGCUAGUUGGUAGGGUAAAAGCCUACCAAGGCGACGAUCCAUAGCUGGUCUGAGAGAAUGAUCAGCCACACUGGGACUGAGACACGGCCCAGACUCCUACGCGAGGGAGCAGUGGGGAAUAUUGGACAAUGGGCGAAAGCCUGAUCCAGCAAUGCCGCGUGAGUGAUGAAGGCCGUAGGGUUGUAAAGCGCUUUUACCCGGGAUGAUAAUGACAGUACCGGGAGAAUAAGCUCCGGCUAACUCCGUG
Molecule: ribosomal RNA, 433 nt
Filed under: uncultured bacterium
Lineage: Bacteria
Description: partial 16S ribosomal RNA
Rfam family: Bacterial small subunit ribosomal RNA
Source: RNAcentral